RNAcentral lists this transfer RNA (66 nucleotides) under Trapezia cymodoce. RNAcentral describes it as "tRNA-Thr". The record is from RNAcentral. Lineage: Eukaryota; Metazoa; Arthropoda; Malacostraca; Decapoda; Trapeziidae.
GUUUUAAUAGUUUAUAAAAAACUUUGGUCUUGUAAACCAACAAUGAAUUAAUUUGUUCUUAAAACU